RNAcentral lists this non-coding RNA (2295 nucleotides) under Pongo abelii (Sumatran orangutan). Lineage: Eukaryota; Metazoa; Chordata; Mammalia; Primates; Hominidae. The record is from RNAcentral.
CUCCCGCGGCGGGCCGAGUCUCCAGGAAGGACCUGAGUUUUCUUUACCCAUGGUCAGGGAGGCGCCAUCGCCCUGGCUUUGGGGCUGGGGCCUCAGGGGAGGUUCCGGUAGGGGCCUUGGAGAGGCUGCUCUUUUUGCAAGGCCCGACACGGCGGGCCCUGCGCAGGCCACCCUAUUCCCCGCCCUCAGGGCGUCAGUAUCCGCCUGAGGCCGGAUACCCCCGCUGGGCCCAGAUGCUCCCUCUGGGCCCGGAGCAUCCUCGGCGCUGCCCUCCCAGAGCCCCGCAGAGGCUGAAGUGGCGCGGGGUAGGGGGGCCCGGCUCCGCGAGAAGCGGCGGCAGCGAGGGCUGGAGGACCCGGGCUCCCGGGCUCCGGGUCUCCGGGGCUCCGGGGGGUCUGGCCUGGGUGGGACUGAGCCCAUCCAGGAACUGGGACUCCGGGGUUCUGGUGUGGGUGGAUCCGGGGCAGGCUCAGGACCAAGUCCCUCUCCUUCCACCAAGAAGCGCCCAGAGGCCGGCGGGAGCUCCAGGUUCACCUCCUCCUCCUCCAGGAAAACCCACUUCCAACUGGAUGUCUGGAUGAACUACUGAAAGCUGCUGAGUGUCCUGCAGCAGGUGAGCUGUGGCCAGAGCCCAAGAAUGAAGGGGGCUCCCUCAGUCUGUGACUGUGAAGAGGAAGCCUGAGGUUUAGCAGGCUCAGGCCCCAGAAGUAUGGAAAAAAUGAGGCCAGUUAUCCAGGCAGUGACUUUCAGUACAGCUACAGUCACCUCUGGACACCUGCAGAGACUUUAAAAAUUUCCAGAAGGUCAGGAAUUUUUGGAGACCUUUCUCAUGGCUACGUUGCCUGCAAAGGUGAAUUAAUAAGCUUCUGAACUGACUUAGAAAAUGUUUCAGAGACUCUGGUGGGCAGAUAGACCCUCUCCUGCCACUCCGGAUAGAUGUAUCUGCGUCACACACACCUGAUUUAACAACAUCUUAUUAUCUCAGGCACCAAUUUGAUCUUCUACUACUUUACAGACAUCUCUUCUGCAAACACCAGACAAAUUGAGACAAUGACCUUCAGCAGCACCCAAACCACCUCUUACUGCAGGAAAGAAGAUCCAGUGAGACAGUUAGUCCACAAUUGGAAUGUAAAUCCAUAAACACUCUUAAGUAAUAGAAUAAAUUUAGUAUGAGCAUUUUUAUGUGGGAGCUCUUGAAAUGGUUGCUGCUCAUAUGUCAGAGACACAUGCAGAUUAAGAAAGGUAGCAGUACCAAUCCUGGUUUGGCCCAAGAGUCACUACAUUUUUGGUGGGGAAAAGCGAUGUGAGAGGAGAUGGUACAUCUUCAUCUUUUUCUCUGUGUUUUCUGUCAGAAAGUGCUGUUGCUUACCCCAGUGGCAAAAAAUGUCAGUGUCUUCUGCCAGAGUGGGUUACUGAGGACCAUGGUGGUUCCACCUUGUGGCUGAUACAGAUAGUCCCUUUCUGCUUUUGUUUCUAGCCAAAAAAGAUGUUUCUGGCAUCUCAGGUAUGCUGAUUUCAGCAGUUGUUUUUUCUAUGUGGCUAUUCUUUUUUCUUUCACUCUCUCUCUCUCUCUCCCUCUUCUUCUUUUUUUUUUUUUUUUUUUUUUUUGGCUUCACUGUGUUGCCAUAGUUUCUAAAAUGGUCCCUUGAACACUCUCAGGGCUAUUUUGGUUUGCACAAAGCUAUCUAUAUAUUUUUUCUUGGGGGGAGGGUAUAGAGCUAAAGGUUGGUAUAUCCUGCUCCUGCUCCCCCAAGUGACAUUAUUCCCCCAAGCUAAUAUUUCAGGCUUUCAAUUCAUUCAUGCUUUCAUCUGUUCAAACAUAAGUAGAAAUUACUUUUUCUCCCCACAUUUAUAUUUAAUCUACUUUAAUUGCUAAUAGUGUCUUAAUCGUAGAAUACAUUAGUUAGAAAAAAGAUAUUUUUGACAUUAUAAAUUGUUAUUUCAAUUUGUGUCUAAAAGUGGAAAAUAUUAGAAUGCUUAACAUUUAUUAUUGUGUUCAGACCAGUAUUUUCUCCAGAUGACCUUUAUUACAAUAAAGAUAAUUUAAUGAAGAUUUCUCUAAUGGUAAAGCUGAUGGCUUUGUGCUAUUAUAAUAUCCUUAAAAUAAACUGACAGUCUGGUGAAAAGAACAACUAAAGCAAGGAUUAGGAAAGAAACAGUUAAUACCUUCAUUUUGAUCUCACUCUGCAUUAAGAGUCUUCAUUGUGUCAAAGUUUUAUUAUACUUUAAGUAAUUUAAUGUUUAUUUAAUAAUAAAUGGAUCCUAUUAAAUAUGAUUUUUAAAAUUAUAAUCACA